RNAcentral lists this transfer-messenger RNA (386 nucleotides) under Helicobacter pylori. It matches the Rfam family "transfer-messenger RNA". Rfam says of the family: Bacterial tmRNA, also known as 10Sa RNA or SsrA, is named for its dual tRNA and mRNA-like properties. Its role is to liberate the mRNA from a stalled ribosome. The record is from RNAcentral. Lineage: Bacteria; Pseudomonadati; Campylobacterota; Epsilonproteobacteria; Campylobacterales; Helicobacteraceae. RNAcentral also lists the same sequence under 1 other name.
GGGGCUGACUUGGAUUUCGACAGAUUUCUUGUCGCACAGAUAGCAUGCCAAGCGCUGCUUGUAAAACAGCAACAAAAAUAACUGUAAACAACACAGAUUACGCUCCAGCUUACGCUAAAGCUGCGUGAGUUAAUCUCCUUUUGGAGCUGGACUGAUUAGAAUUUCUAGCGUUUUAAUCACUCCAUAACCUUAAGCUAGACGCUUUUAAAAGGUGGUUCGCCUUUUAAACUAAGAAACAAGAACUCUUGAAACUACCUCAAGGUUUUAGAAAGUUGGACCAGAGCUAGUUUUAAGGCUAAAAAACCAACCAAUUUUCUAAGCAUUGUAGAAGUUUGUGUUUAGGACAAGAUUUUUGGACUGGGGUUCGAUUCCCCACAGCUCCACCA